RNAcentral lists this transfer RNA (72 nucleotides) under Pangasianodon hypophthalmus (striped catfish). RNAcentral's name for it is "tRNA-Glu". The record is from RNAcentral. Lineage: Eukaryota; Metazoa; Chordata; Actinopteri; Siluriformes; Pangasiidae.
UCCCUGGAGGACUAGUGGUUAGGCCUCGGUGCUCUCACUGCCGCGGCCAGGGUUCGAUUCCCAGGCAGGAAA